AUUGAACGCUGGCGGCAUGCUUUACACAUGCAAGUCGAACGGCAGCGCGGGCUUCGGCCUGGCGGCGAGUGGCGAACGGGUGAGUAAUGCAUCGGAACGUGCCCAGUAGUGGGGGAUAGCCCGGCGAAAGCCGGAUUAAUACCGCAUACGACCUGAGGGUGAAAGCGGGGGACCGAAAGGCCUCGCGCUAUUGGAGCGGCCGAUGUCGGAUUAGCUAGUUGGUGGGGUAAAGGCUUACCAAGGCGACGAUCCGUAGCUGGUCUGAGAGGACGACCAGCCACACUGGGACUGAGACACGGCCCAGACUCCUACGGGAGGCAGCAGUGGGGAAUUUUGGACAAUGGGGGCAACCCUGAUCCAGCCAUGCCGCGUGCGGGAAGAAGGCCUUCGGGUUGUAAACCGCUUUUGUUUGGGAAGAAAUCCUCUGGGCUAAUACCCCGGGGGGAUGACGGUACCGGAAGAAUAAGCACCGGCUAACUACGUG
Molecule: ribosomal RNA, 484 nt
Filed under: uncultured bacterium
Lineage: Bacteria
Description: partial 16S ribosomal RNA
Rfam family: Bacterial small subunit ribosomal RNA
Source: RNAcentral